GUGGGGCCCGCCGCUCUGCCGCCGCCGCUGUUGCAGCUGCCGCCGUUGCCGCCUCCCUACCGGCAAGUGUGAGAAGAAGCUGAGCGUUGUCGCCAUCGCUAUGGGGAGAAAGUCAAGCAAAGCCAAGGAGAAGAAGCAGAAGCGGUUGGAGGAGCGAGCAGCCAUGGAUGCCGUUUGUGCCAAAGUGGACGCUGCCAACAGGCUUGGAGACCCUCUGGAGGCUUUCCCAGUGUUCAAGAAAUAUGAUAGAAACGGGUUGAAUGUCUCCAUUGAAUGUAAGCGAGUGUCUGGACUGGAGCCAGCCACCGUGGAUUGGGCCUUCGACCUGACCAAAACGAAUAUGCAAACCAUGUAAGCGUGUCCCGACCAGGGGAGCUUAGUUCCUCUCCCAGCUUUCCUGUCUGACUGCUCCCAAAUUCCCCAGGUAUGAGCAGAGCGAGUGGGGCUGGAAGGACCGAGAGAAACGGGAGGAAAUGACAGAUGACCGAGCCUGGUACCUCAUCGCGUGGGAAAACAGCUCCGUCCCUGUUGCCUUUUCUCACUUCCGGUUUGACGUGGAGUGUGGGGAUGAAGUCCUGUACUGGUAGGAGCCAUGGCUUGGGGGAGGUAGGGGAGAGAGACCCUGGUGAUGGUCCAG
This 637-nucleotide small RNA is filed under the name Pongo abelii (Sumatran orangutan). RNAcentral's name for it is "processed transcript". Lineage: Eukaryota; Metazoa; Chordata; Mammalia; Primates; Hominidae. The record is from RNAcentral.